GGAUUAGAAGGAGGGGAUGACAAGCAACAACAACCAAAAUCUUCACUGAGCUCCUUCAGCUGAUCAUCAUCUCCGAAUGACUUCAAUUUCAAACGAGGGAGAUGAAUAAACUUUAAAGUAACCAAGUUCCAAAGACAAAACUCAAGGUCAUCUGGAUAGUUGGACAUAAUUAACCAGCCAUGGAAACAGCCCCAAAUCUCUCUUCCCAGUAAUUGUGGUAUUCGACAAUGAUAAUGGUGAUAUUGAAAAGGAGAAAUCGGUA
This 262-nucleotide long non-coding RNA is filed under the name Panax ginseng (ginseng). RNAcentral's name for it is "long non-coding RNA (PGIN_LNC016366)". The record is from RNAcentral. Lineage: Eukaryota; Viridiplantae; Streptophyta; Magnoliopsida; Apiales; Araliaceae.